GUGAAAGCAAAUAUACACAAAUACUGGCAUUUGAUCGCUGAUGCAUCAAAGGUUUAUUACACAUAUCACGGAAAUAUCUCACAGUAGAUACGGUGAUCUGAACUGAAUAAGAACAUGCAGAGUGGAUCUUCACCUCCACAUUGUAAUUUGGUCCUGCUCGGACAGGUUGGAGCAGGAAAGAGCUGCACAGGAAAUACAAUCCUGGGACAAAGAAUAUUUCAUUCAAAAAAAAGUUUAAAUGCAGUAACACGAGAUAUUCAAAGAGCCUCUGUGACUGUUAGUGGCCUCAGUGUGGAUGUUUAUGACACCCCUGGGUUUUUAGGUCCUGGGGUUCAGAGUGGACAGAUUGAGCGAAAAUGCCAGAAGCUUCUGCAGUUAAAUUCUUCAGCCCCCACUGUGUUUCUGUUGGUGAUCAGCACUGACAGAUUUGCAGAACAAGAGAAGAAAGCUACUGAUUUAGUUUUGAGUUUUUUAGGGAGCAGUAAUUUGCAGAACACCUUUAUUAUCUUCACUAAAGAUGAUGAACUGGAAAGCAAUGAACUCACCAUUGAACAGUACAUGGAGGACUCAGAAGAGCUCAGCGCAUUAGUCCACAGACUGAACAAUCAGUAUCUGGUUUUUAACAACAAUGGAGAUCCAAAUAACCGGGAGCAGGCUGAAGAACUUAUCAAAAAAAUUGCAGAAACGAACAAAUGUAUUUCUCAAAACCAGCUGAGUCCCAUAGCACAGCAGAACCAUCUGGUGAGUUCAUCUUUGAACACAAUAUUUCACACUUUACAAUAAAAUUCAGUGAUUAAAGUAACUUAAUGCAUAUAUUAACAUGAUUUUUUCUGGCAUGAACUUAAAAUUAACAAUACAUUUAUUAGAAUAUUAAAACAUCUGUGCAAACAUUAGUUAAAGAAAUUAAAGUUGUUCCAUGUUCUUGUUAAAUCAGUGCAUUAACUAAUGUUGGCAAGCACAAUUAGAUUUUUAUGAUGCAUGAGUAAAUGC
Non-coding RNA from Danio rerio (zebrafish), 990 nucleotides. The record is from RefSeq and is a predicted model, not a curated record. Lineage: Eukaryota; Metazoa; Chordata; Actinopteri; Cypriniformes; Danionidae.